Molecule: ribosomal RNA, 303 nt
Filed under: uncultured soil bacterium
Lineage: Bacteria
Description: bacterial SSU rRNA
Rfam family: Bacterial small subunit ribosomal RNA
Source: RNAcentral
AGAUUGAACGCUGGCGGCAUGCCUUACACAUGCAAGUCGAACGGCAGCACGGGGGCAACCCUGGUGGCGAGUGGCGAACGGGUGAGUAAUGCAUCGGAACGUGCCCAGUAGUGGGGGAUAACUAGUCGAAAGAUUAGCUAAUACCGCAUACGACCUAUGGGUGAAAGCGGGGGAUUCGCAAGAACCUCGCGCUAUCGGAGCGGCCGAUGUCUGAUUAGCUAGUUGGCGGGGUAAAANCCCACCAAGGCUUCGAUCAGUAGCUGGUCUGAGAGGACGACCAGCCACACUGGGACUGAGACACGG